CUCUGCGCAAGUGGCUUGAGCUUUUCAUCCUGGUGACCACAGACUUGGAAACAAACUAAAGCCAGACACAUACUAUGGAUACCAAAGGCCAUACAACAACAAAUUCUCCUUCAACCCCAUGUCAAAGCUGCUCUAGGAUUACAAAUGUUAGUAACAUCUCUGCUAACAACAGCUGCCAAUGUGGCGGUCUUAAAGUCAACAACCGUCAUCCAGCUGGCCACGUUCAGAGAAUUUUCCAGGACCAGGGCUGCCAACCCACCCGUUGCUCUUGUUGCAUGCCCAUCUACCUAGUAAACAACUUCAAUGCUCGCUCCUCUCUGGAUUACUGCAGCUGGUAUAGUGAAGGCAUCAACAGUAAUGAGAAGGAGACCAUGCAAAUCUUGAACAACCGCCUUGCUAACUACAUGGAAAAGGUGCGGAUGCUAGAACGAGAGAAUGCUGAGCUGGAGUCUAAAAUCCAGGAAGAGAGUAACAAAGAGCUCCCUGUUCUAUGUCCUGAUUACCUGUCUUACUACACUACCAUCGAGGAGCUCCAGCAGAAGAUCUUGUGUACCAAGGCUGAGAAUUCCAGACUGGUCUCGCAAAUUGACAACACCAAACUGGCUGCAGAUGACUUGAGAGCCAAGUAUGAAGCUGAGGCGUCUCUACGCCAGCUGGCGGAGGCAGAUGCCAAUGGCCUCAAGCAGAUCCUGAAUGUGCUGACCCUGGGCAAGGCAGACCUGGAGGUACAAGUCCAGUCUCGGAAGGAGGAGCUCCUUUGCCUCAAGAACAACCACGAAGAGGAAAUCAAUUCUUUACAGUGUCAGCUUGGGGAGAGACUUCACAUUGAAGUGACUGCUGCUCCUUCUGUUGACCUAAACCAGGUCCUACAAGAAAUGAGAUGUCGCUAUGAGUCCAUCAUGGAGACAAACCGCAAAGAUGCAGAACAAUGGUUCAGCGCGCAGAUGGAGGAGCUGAAUCAGCAAGUGGUGACCAGCUCUCAACAGCAGCAAUGCUGCCAAAAGGAGAUCAUAGAACUGAGACGCACUGUGAACACUCUGGAGGUUGACCUGCAGGCCCAGCAUCGAAUGAGAGAUUCCCAGGAGUGCAUCCUGACGGAGACAGAGGCUCGCUACACAGCCCUGCUGACCCAGAUCCAGAGUCUGAUUGAUAACCUGGAGGCUCAGCUGGCAGAGAUCCGGUGUGCCCUGGAAAGACAGAACCAAGAAUACGAGAUCCUGCUGGACGUCAAGUCCCGGCUGGAGUGUGAGAUUACUACAUACCGCAGCCUUCUGGAGAGCUUGGAUGGCAAGCUUCCUUGUUAUCCAUGUGCCACUAAGUGUGAGCCUUCCCCUUGGACAUCUUGUAAGUCCAGAGCCAUGGAAUGCACGGCCCCAGCUUGCACAUCCUCAGCCUCCUGUGGCUUACAGGGGCCCUGCAGUGCCUGUGGACCCCUGUCCAGGAUACUGGUUAAAAUCUGCACCAUUACCAAGGAGAUUAAGGAUGGGAAGGUCAUUUCUUCUUAUGAGCAUGUGCAGCCUUGCUUCAUCAUCAGACCUGCCAAAGUCUAACAGCCCAAGGUGAUGAAAAUGACCCACUUUAAUGAAAGAGAGGCCAAUACAUGCUCCUGCCAGAGAGGUUUAAGGAAACUCCCCAGUCCCUUAAGGGAAUGGGAGUUUGUUCUGAUUGUUUGACAAGGAACAUUUAGCUGGAACUCUCAAGAAAUAACCCUUGCUUCUUCCCCUCCCUGUGAAGAGUGACAAAGAAAAACAUAGCUUAGAUUCCUGCUUCAAUCUAUCCAUCAGAGUAAAUGGACUUAAUAUCCACCCAUUUUGCAGAAAAGCAAUAGUGAAUAAUUGCUGCUUGUAAGCGCAAGGCAGUCCCAGUGUGAGAAGGCAUCAUUCAUAUGCCAGCCGUCAUCACGGUUUCUUACAGGAUAGUCACAGAAUAUGUAAGUCAUUCCCAAUAAUAAUCAUUGGACAUUGUCAGAGGUUUUGAGAAAUAAUUCAAAAUCAAACACAGAUGUGAGGUCAAAAGGCCUACACUUGCAUUUCCCAGCUGUGAUGCUGGGGAAAACACUUAGACUUCAUCACACUGAAUUUCUGUGUUUGUUAAACGCUGAUCAUGCCUACUUCACAGGGUUGUUGUGAAGGUCAAAUGAAAUGGCUUGUGUGAUACUGCUUUGAAUGCUGAAAAGCACGACACCAAUGCUAUUUUUAUGUAAGUUUUGCUUUUAGCUACAGCCCUAGACCUAUUUUUGUCAUUACCUCAUUUUAAAUUCUUUCUUCAUGAAUUUAGCCAUCCAGUCAUGAUUUUGGAGUUUUAAUAGUGUUUAACUGUUGGGAGAAAAAAAAAAAGAAACAUGAUUUCCUGUGAUCAAGCCCACAAUUCUACUUAAUAAAGCAUUUUUCAAUUCUCA
RNA transcript from Callithrix jacchus (white-tufted-ear marmoset), 2398 nucleotides. It is a transcript of the gene named keratin 39, with no coding region annotated. The record is from RefSeq and is a predicted model, not a curated record. Lineage: Eukaryota; Metazoa; Chordata; Mammalia; Primates; Cebidae.